Molecule: long non-coding RNA, 11952 nt
Filed under: Vitis vinifera (wine grape)
Lineage: Eukaryota; Viridiplantae; Streptophyta; Magnoliopsida; Vitales; Vitaceae
Description: long non-coding RNA (VVIN_LNC003995)
Source: RNAcentral
AAAAAGAUUACCACGUCCACCACCUGAAAGGUUCUUGGAGGGAGAAACAGUGAAGACAAAACCAUGCCCACCAGACCCACCAACAUAGCUGGGGACAAUGGCAAAGAUGAAGGUUGUGGCAAAGGAGGAAGCUGUGGUGGGGUGUUGGGAAUCAUGGCUGUUCUUGUUGAGAAAGUGAAAUGGGGUGUUGUAGAAGGCAUGGCCAGUGAGGUUGGGUGAUGAGUUUGUAAGCCUGAGAGCCCCAUUUGGCGUGGUGAGGGAAGCCCCACCAAGGCUUAAGUUGGAUGCAGAAGCUUUGAAGCCAUUGAAGAUGAAGCCAUAAUCAGACUGAGAGUAAGCUUGAUUAAGGAGGAGCAGAGAGAAGAGGGGAAAGAGGAGAGUUUUUGCCAUUUUAGAUGGGUUUUUCUCAAGGUAGAACUGUAGAAGAUAGAUUUGUAGGCAAAUGUGAGAGGCAUACACGUCGUCUUCAGUUUCCUGUGGAGUUGUGGACAAAUGUCCAUCUCUUCGUACCAUUUUCAAAUCAAUAGACCCAGUGUAAUUUAAUUUGCUUAGGUUGCUAGGGUUAAAGUGGCCAAUUUGUAAGGAAAAGCAAAAUUUCUAGAAGAAAAAAGAUGUUCUUUGAUUGAAAGUUUUCAAAUAACAGGCAUUUGUGUUGAUGGUGUGACAUUAGCCUCCAAGAAUUUGUGCAGAGAUGAUGAUCUGGAUGCAGAAUAUUUUUGUGCAAGAGAAAAGAUUUAUUUCGUGUUUGUUUGAAGCCAUGGAUACAGAAUUAGAUUUUAGAACCCGUCUAAUCAUAAUUUUGAAAAUAGUUUUUAAAAAUAAAAUUUUAAGAUUAAUUCAUAAAAAUAAUUGUGUGGACCUCGUAUUUCUGUUCAUGCGCUUCCACUCGAUGACGAACUCGUUUUUUAUUUGAAAAAUGAUUUAUUUUUUAGAAAAUAACUUGGAGUCGUCACUUAUUUUUGUUUUAUUUUUAAAGGGGAAACAAAAUAAGAAAGAAAACCCUAAGUGUGACCUUAUUUUGGAAAAGGUGAUCUGUGAAAAACUAAAUAUGGACUCGAAGGUCAGGUUACUUAUUGGGAAGGUACGGUAAAGGCCGUAACACCCCUCUAAGUCCCUAAAAAUAGGUCUCUACUGAUGAAAUGAGACAAGUAUGACAAUUGAUUGAUCAAAUAUGGAUACCGAAUGAAUAUCAAUCAAAACAAAAUAAUCGAAUGAACAAGAGAAACAAAGAGUGUACCUAAUUGAUGAGCGGAUUUGCUUCAUGAAAAUAAAGAUUAGUAAACAAACAUAGAAUAAUCACAUGUGUGUCAUAGAGUGGAAUAAGUCAAUCAUGUAUAGCAAUCAAUGAGAUAAUCACAUAUGUUGGGUCCCUAUUAAGACCCACUUUAUUUUUGCAUGAAUUAAUUCUGUAAAUUCCAUACUGGGGCAUAUUUCCUUCUUUUAGCUGUGGAGAGGAUUACUUUCUCACAGGCUUGUUGUCGUUUUCAUUACUCAGUCGAGGGAUAUUUAUUCAUAUCGUUGGCCACAGUUUCGAUGAUUUUUGACGAGAUAAGCCACUAGAGGAGCACAACUUUCGGGUUUUAACUGUCCCACCAUUCAUGAUUCUUUAGUAGAUUGUUGUGUUGAGAUGGUGGUAGUUACCCUAACAGCUUAUCCUCUUGUGACUCCCCAGUGGAUCAUUCCUUUGAGACGACGAUGGAUUCUUCCGGCAUAACAUGUUGAGUUAGAGGCGUCCGACUUAUUGUGACACAUCAUCAAGUCUCGUGAUUCAGUCAGAUUGGCUGUGAAGCCAUAUUAACAGUCGAUUUGACCGUUCCAACUCGUCAGCGGAGCAUCUUUUGAGACUCAUGAAGUAUGUUUUAGACCUUUCCUGUGGAUUGAGAGUUGUAGCGGCACGCUACACUGGGGCAUAUUUUCUCCUCAUUAUCUCCUCACAUUUUCAGUUUGGGCGUUCAGAGCCACAAUCUCUUCUCAGUUUCGGCGUUCAGAGUCAUCAUAUCUUCUCAGUUUUGGUGUUCAAAGCCAUCAUAUAUUCUUAGUUUCGGCGUUCAAAGUCACCAUCUCUUCUCAGUUUUGACGUUUAAAGCCACCAUCUUCUCAGUUUGGGCCUUCAGAACCACCAUAUCUUCUCAUUUUUGGCGUUUAGAGCCAUCAUCUCUUCUAAGUUUCGGUGUUCAGAGCUACCAUCUCUUCUUAGUUUUGGCGUUCAGAGCCACAAUAUUCUUAGUUUGGGCAUUCAGGGCCACCAUCUUUUCUCAGUUUGGGCGUUCAAAGUCACCAUCUGCAUUAUUUGGCAUUCAGAGCCACCAUCUCCUCUCAGUCUGGCAUUUAGAGUCAUCAUCUUAUCAUGAUCGAGCAUUCGCUGCCACUUUUUUGGCGUUCAAAGCUACAUUCAUGACGUUCAGGGUCAUUGUUCACAGUUUGGCGUUCAGAGCCUUUAUCUUCUUCAAUUUGUUGUUCAAAGUCGCAUAUCAACCUGGCAUUCAAAGCCGCCAUUUUCCUUUAGUUCGGCGUUCGGAGCCACGUUCCUAACAUUUAGAGUUGUCUUUCUCUGUUAGUUAGGUGUUCGGAGCCACGUUGCUAGCAUUUAGGAUUGUCAUUUUCUUUUAGUUUAGUAUUCAAAGUCAUUCUUACCAUUCAGGGCCACUUUCAUCAAUUUUAGGCGUUCAGAGCCAUGUCUUCAAUUUGGCAUUUAGAACCACCAUCUUCUUCAGUUUGACAUUCAGAGUUGUGUCUUCAUUUUGACAUUCAAGGCCAUUGUCUAGCUUGGCAUUCGGUGCCACCAUCUCCUUUUAGUUUUGGUGUUCAGAAUCGUUUUUUCCCAGCUUUGUCAUCCAUAGUCAUGGCUCCUGGCAUUCAUAUUCAUUGGCAUUGCACAUCUUGCCUUCACGAUUUUUACGUUCAUCCUCAUUUUCCUCACCUCGUUACCUUGUGCUUAUCGCUUGUUCAUCACGUUCUUCUAGACUUCCCAUUCCCUUGCACAUGACAUAGUUCAUUGAGUUCAUGGCACAUAUUUUGAUCAUGUUAUUGGGGCACCCUACACUUAGCAUCCUCAUGUAGUUCACAUAGGGCAAUCCCCUUUGGACGCAUUCUUUCCUGUACUCGAAGGUGGUUCAACUGCUACUCAACUUUGACAUCGAUCUUCGAGUCACUUUUGGAGACAUCUUAGAGUGUCUGGGUCCAUAACACAACUUUAGAUGCAUUCUAAGAGCUACCAUUUUUUUAGGAUUUUAGAGCCCCUUUUGUUCUUUGUCAGUUUGAACAAGUUUGUGUUCUACUUGUGUACCUUUGGGGGUCUUUCUUUUUCUUUGGUAGAGUUCACUCUAUUCUACUCACUAUUCACACUUUCUUUUCACUCUAGUAUUCAUAUUCUUUGCACUCGUGAACUCUACCGAAGAUGGGUAUAUUUGUAGACCUUUGUAGGACCGUGGGUUUUUUUUCUCAAACCCGGGAAGAGCUGGCAACUUGUUUUUGGAGUGGGGGCCAAUUUCCGAAGGAGUCAAGCUACAUGGACGUGUGGCUAAGGGACAUUACCACCUUGUUAGGUGGUGGUUGAGGAUGGUCAUAUUUGCUAAACCAGGAGCAAGUGAAGACAUAGGGGAGGAAGAAAAACAGAGGAAAUAGGAAAAAAAAAACAGAGCAAGCUUUUUGGUGGUGGGAAAUAUAUAGAAAAAAAAAACGGAACUGAGGAAAGGGUGGUGAGUCUGCGGAUAUCCCAAGAGAGAGCAAAAGCAGAGGACUUUGAGGUACGUUGGUUGUGAUUUCCUUGCUCAUUUUUGCUAGAGAGGAGCUCUACCAGGUGCGAGCAUUGUGGAUCUUUAUUGUUCAUCUUUCUGAUUACAUUGUUCUUCAUGCAUUUUUCUUGUUAUUUUUUUUAGCUUUCAUUUGCUACUUGGAUGUGACUACUCUGCUAUUCUCUCAUUUUCUUUGAUUUCGUUUGGGGCUACCAUGCGCAUGGGUUCAUCCAAAUCAUGUCAAUGUUCUCUGUUUAUCCCAUGUUCAUGGCCCAUGAAUUCACAUAUAAAAUAAGGCUCCAUAGGUUUUUUUUUUUUUUUUUUUUCUUUCUCUGUUUCUUCCUUGGGGACAUGAGAAACUUCUUCUCCUUCUUUUUGUGGGACUGGUCUCGGCUCGGAGGGAUGUGGGGAGGUUUUAAGAGAGAGGGAGUUGUAGGAAGAGCUAGUCACAAGCUUGAGAGAGAAGAUGAGCAUGAGAGCAGAUCUGGAACUAAUAACAUGGACGGUGCUUCUGGGGAUGAUCAGGAUGCUAUCAACAACCCACCAAGGAAGAAGAGAUACCACCGACACACUCCUCGGCAAAUCCAAGAACUUGAAGCCCUAUUCAAGGAGUGUCUUCAUCCUGAUGAAAAGCAAAUGUUGGAACUCAACAAAAGGCUUUGCUUGGAGACUAGGCAAGUGAAAUUCUAGUUCCAAAAUCAUCGUACCCAGAUGAAGACCCGAUUAGAACGACAUGAGAACUCAAUUCUUAAGCAAGAAAAAUGAUAAACUUUAGGCUAAAAACAUGUCAAUAAAGGAUGCUAUGAGGAACCCAAUUUGCACCAACUGUGGUGGUCCGGUAAUUAUUGGUGACAUUUCUGUAAAGGAGGCAGAAUCUUUUUCUAGAUGUCAAAAGCUUCACAUACCUUUGAAUAAUAACCUUUGCCGUAAUGAAAUUGGUCAGUCCGAGAAUAUUCGAAUCCAAACCCGGUAUCAACAGGGUUGAAACUUUCUUAUGAGGAAGAUGAGCACAACUCUUCUAUUACUUUCGCAUGUGAUAUCAUGACCGCCGCACUCCCUGUUAUUUCAUCUCUUGGUGAUAAUCUGAAGCUUGAGGUAGAAAAGGUUGAAAAAAGAGAAGAGGCGGUUCUUUGCAUUGUCACUAGGGUCGUUUUUUUCACUACUCAAACAUCUUCCCAUUCUUUCUCAUCAUAUGCACCCAUCAUACCUAUUUUUUCUCACAUUUUCCUCCACUCAAACAUCUUCAUAUUCUCUCUCAUACAUAUAUAGCCAUCAUACCUAUUUAUCUCACAUUUUUCCUCCACUCAAACAUCUUCUCAUUCUGUCUCAUACGUAUGCACUCACCAAACCCAUUCUUUAUUUAUUUUUUCUUUCUCUCACUAUUUCCUCCACUUAAAUAUCUUCCAACUCUCUUUCAUACCCGUGCAACUUGCAUUUCCAUUUUAUUUCUUCAUAUUUUAACAUCAAAGUUUAAUGUUCCAAAAUUUCAAUUUUUAAAUUUAAUUUUCAAAACUCUAAUUCUCAAUUAAUUUCCAAAAUUUCAAUUCUUAAAUUUAAUUUUUAAAACUCCAAUUUUCAAUUAAUUUCCAAAAUUCCAAUUCUUAAAUUUAAUUUCCAAAAUUCCAUUCCCUAAAUUUAAUUUCCAAAAUUCCAUUCCCUAAAUUUAAUUUCCAAAAUUCCAAUUCUCAAAUAAUUUCCAAAAUUCCAAUUUCUUUCAAACUUAAUUUCCAAGAUUCCAAUUCUUAAAUUUAAUUUCCAAAAUUCCAUUUCUUAAAUUUAAUUUUCAAAACUCCAAUUCUCACAAAAUUCCAAUUUCUUUCAAAUUUAAUUUCAAAAAUUCUAAUCCUUAAAUUUAAUUUUCAAAACUCCAAUUUUCAAAUAUUUUUUUUUAAGAUUUCAAUUUUUAAAUAAUUUUCAAAAUUCCAAUUUUCUUCAAAUAAUUUUAAAUCCACUCCAGUUUUCUAAUAAUUUUAAGUCCUCAACUUUUGUCCUUCAUUAGGGUUUUAGGUCACCAAAAAUCCGGAUUUUGAUAAACUUGCUACUUUUCCUUAUGGGUAAGCACUUCCACAAAUUUCCUUUGAUUUUAAAAUAAUUUUUCUUUUUUUUCGAUUUUUAAAUAAAAAUGAAUAUGAUUCUCAUAUCUCUAGAAAUAAUGGAAUUUAUGAGAUUAAUUCACGCAAAAUCAAUCGGGCUUUGGUGGGGGCCCAACAUCCAUAACAUUUCUUCAAAAAUAAUUCAAGUGAAUCGCAUGAUUGAUAUAAUUUGAUUUUGAUUGGUUUUGUGUGAAAUAUUUUACAUUUAUCAUUGUGCACUAACUCUGUUUCAUGAUAGCGCUUUAUUAUUUGUUGCUAAAGUACGCUCCUAUUCCUACUUCAUUUAUUUAUUCGUUCUCAUGCUCAAUUUGUUUUAUUAUUUGAUCAUUUCAUUGGUAUCUAUUGAUCUCCUUAUUAAUUGUCACACUUGUUUCACCUUAUUUAGUAGAGACCUUAUUAUAAGGCUUAGAAGGGUGCUACGGCUCACCACUGUACCUUCCCAAUAGGUAACCUGACCCUCGAACCCAAACUCGGUUUUCCACAAACUUAUUUUUUCUUCAGGAGUGACACUUAGUGUUUUUCUUUCUUAUUUUGUUUUUUCCUUAAAAAAUAUUAAAAUAAGUGGCGACUCCAAGUCUUUUUCUAAAAAUCAAAUUUUCAUAAAUAAAUUAAAAAAAAAAGAGUUUCGCCAUUGAAUGAGAAAGCAUCGAGCAAAAUACAUGGUCUACGCAAUGUUUUUAGUAUUUUUGUUAUUUAAUUUUUCAUAUUAUAAAUUCUUCUUUUCUUUUAUUAGUCUUUUUUUUUUCUUUUAUUGAAUGAUACCAACAUUACCAUUUUUAAAAUAUGAAAAUUUAUUUAUAAUUAUUAUAAUACUCAAACUUUUUAUUCCCUUCACACCAAAUUUUUUGGCUCCACCGCUACUUUCAAUAUAUCAUAUGCUGAAAAAUGUAGGCUAUGUUUGAAAAUUGUUCUCGACAAUACUUUUUUAUUUAUAUAUAUAUAAAUUGUUUCCAAAAUAUAUUUUUGAGAAAAAUGGAAAUUAUAUUUGCAUCCACCAAAUUGAUUUUUGCAUCCAUUCUAUUUACACAUCCACUUAAAAAUAAUAAUUUUAUUAAUACAUCAACUAACAAUUUUAAACAUUUUUCAAUCCAUCAUUUAAAAAAAAAAAAAAAACAAAUUGCUUUAAGCAUAUACAAAAAAAUAGGCUUACAAAUUCCUUCAUACGCCCAUGCAAAAAAAAGUGUAGGUACAUAACUAAAUCAUCUCAAAAAACAAUUUUAUGGUAACACUAUUAAAGUAAGUGAUGAACCAAUUGUAAGGCUUAGAUAUUGAUAUUGUUGUUAACAAUAUUGACACAAUUAUGUUUAUGUCUAGGAUGUAAUGGAAUUGGUCGUUUGCAUGUUUUUCUAUUAUGUCUAUAAUCAUUACAUCUACCACAACAUCAUGUGCACUUAAUAACCUUUUUGCCUGAUCAAAUUCUUUCAUUUUUUGGUCUUCCUACUAGUUGUUGACUUUUAGGUGGUAAUACAACUCUACAACAAAUGUAUUUAGGAAUUACCCAAUCUUUUUUAUUUCUAGUAGAAUAUAUAGAUUUUGAAUAUGAAGAUAUAAGUGAGUUCUUCAUAUAGUAUUGAGAGCACAUAAUAUAUAACGACAUGUUUCCAUAUCUACAUGCAUCGAUCGCAUGUGUACAUGAAAUAUGGUCAAGAUCAAACAUCCUACAUGUGCAUGAACAUGCUUGCAAAUUAACUUAAUCACUUAUCCCAACAUAUUUGACAUUAAACUCCCAAAAAUUAAUAGACUCAACCUCAUAACUUGAUAAUUUAUUAAACCUUAAGCACAACUUCAAGUUAACCCAUGUGAUAAGUUCAAUUUUCAUUGACAAUGCUUGUUGUUGGCGAUUUGAAAACCAUCUCUAAAGUAAGUUUCUCAACUCUUCAACCAUUCUCAUAAUCGAAAGAUCUCUUGCAUCUUUUAAUACAACAUUCAUGCACUCAAUAAUCCUGUAAUCAUGAUAUUAUAUUUUUUUUCAUUAUUAUGUGACCGAGUUUAUUGCUUAAUUCCUAUAUCCACUAAAUAAACAGAUGCUCUAAUUUUCCAUACAUGUGAUUUAUUACUUACUAUUAUUUGACUUUGUCAUAUGGAUAAAACUUUUAACUUCUUUUAAAUUAAAAUUUUCACUUUUUCACAUUUUAAAACUUUUUUUUUUCAUAACUAAUGUUGAAGCUUUUUUUACCAACAAUGGUGAAGUAAGGUUUUAAAUUUAUAGGAAACAAAAAGAAAUAAAAUGAUAAUAUAUAUAAAAAAAAAUGUUGGUUGCUUACAAGACUAAGAAUAAAGAGUAGAUGAAACAAUAGUGAGAAUUUAGGUUUUUUCUUUGUCGGGAAACAAAAAAGGAGCAAAUAGAUGAUCAAAUAAAAAAAUAAAAAGCUAAUAUAUUGUAAAAUAGAGGGAAGAGAAAAUCAUCUUAGAGGAAAAAAAAAAAAAAGAGGAGGGGGGGGGGGGUGGUAUUUAUACUUUUUGAGAGAUAAAUUAUUCUUAUAAAUAUGAGAGUUAUUUUAAUCCCUUUUAACCAAAUAACCUAAAUUUUAAACCGUUAAAAAAAGUAUUGAGAAGUUGUCUUGAAGGCUUAAGGCUGUGUCAAAAAUGGUCAAUGGGCUUCUACCUCCUACUUUUCCAUCUUAGAAAAGCCUAGGAUUCCAUUCUCAUAGAGAACCUUAUCUAUGAAUUAGGUAAAAAGGAAUGCCUUUGCCCUCUUAACCAUUAUUAAAGCUAGCGAAGCAUAAGAAGAGUCCACGUCUUUCCCCCACAAGAAAGCUAAAAGUUAGCUCAAAAGCCUCAUAAGUCUCCUAGGAGAACUUUUGUUUGGCAGCAUUUUUAAAAGUAGGUUUUUUCAGCUUAUUAUCAAUGAAUUGAGGCUUAAUGCAACACUUUUCAGAGUAAUUUUUUUUUUUCAAUUGAUUCUCAUAACACUUAACAAAAAAAAGCCUAAAAACAUAUCAUAUUUGUUCUUAAAAAAGAACCAUUUUUCAAAAAAUUAUUGUUGGUAAAAAGUUUGUCAAACACGUUUUUUAAAAUUGGAGUUAGGUUUUCUAUUUUGACAAAAAAUUGUUUUUAAGAAUGGCUUCCAACCACUAAUUUAAUUUAAAAACUUUAAUUGUUGAAUGAUGUACCAACUACAUAUAUUAAGUUGAUUUUUGCUAAAACCCUAACGCUCAGGCAAUCACCAUUUUCUGAACUAAUUUAAUCUAAAAGCUUAAAUUGUUAUAUAAUAAGCCAUAUGUAUCAAGCCUACCCAUGCUAAAAGCCCUAACAACAUCAAACUCAAAACUUGAUGCCAGAGGUCUUCAUACUUCAACAACUUCAGCCUCAUUACUCAACAUACAGGCCACCAUCCUCACAAAGAAAAUGAAACUAAGCAGAACAACAAGCAUAUACAAUUAAUCUACCGCCCAGAUGCUAAGGAUCCAACAGACAUCACUCCAUAGGAUGAUGGGUGUGAGUCAGCUUUGGAGUCCAAUGAGCCCACAAAGAAACCUAAACUUGAAGCAUCAACCUCGGGGAGUGGGUCAAAGCCACUGAGAUAUCUUGUAACCUGCUGCAUAUUGGGCCUAGCCUGUGGCUCUGGGUAAGAGCAGAGGAGGCCAACCUUCAAAACCAAUUCAAUCUCCUUCUUCACAUAUGAAUUGCCAAGCUUUGGAUCUGCAGCUUCAAGUAUAUGACCCCUCUGAUGACACUGUGCCACCCAAUCUUGUAGAAUCAUUUGUUUCCCGGACGAGGCAUUGGGGUCUAGAGGCCUCCUCCCACAUGCCACUUCUAGUAGUACUGCCCCAAAGGCGAAUACAUCGGAGCUUGCGGUGGCCUUUCCAGUGAGGGAGAGCUCCGGUGCUAUGUACCCCACUGUGCCCACCACAUGGGUGGUGCUAGGGUUCUUCCCAUGCUCAUAUAGUUUGGCCAGGCCGAAGUCUCCUAGCCGGGAAUUCAUAUUUGAGUCAAGCAGGACAUUGUUGGCCUUCACAUCCCUAUGGACAACUACCUGUUCCCAUUCUUCAUGUAAAUAUAGGAGGCCUGCAGCAAUCUCCUUGAGGAUCCUGAACCUCUGUCCCCAAUCAAGGUUCUUGUCUUCUUGAAACAGGAAGGUGUCCAGGCUGCCAUUGGACAUAUAAUCAUAAACAAGAAGGAGAUCGCCUUUUCGCUUACACCAACCUUGGAGAUGAACCAAGUGCCUGUGCCUCAGCUUUCCUAGGCUUGCAAUCUCUGCAAUAAACUCCUUCACUCCCUGCUUGGAAUUGUGGGAAAUUCUCUUUACAGCAACUUCUUCUCUAGUCUUUGGCAGCACCCCCUUGUAGACGGAACCGAACACGCCUUUGCCGAGAAUCUGGCUCUCCUUGAAGCCCUUUGUGGCAAUAUAAAGGUCUUUGUAUCUAAACCUAUGGGGGAAGUCCAAUUCCCAAUCUUCCAGGACCUCAGCUAGCCUUGCCCUUCUUAGCAUAUACACAGAAAUAGUGAUUCCACACAGAAGUAACGCAAGGGUCACCAUUGUUGACGCUGCUCCAAUCUCAAUCCCUCUUCUCCUCCCAAGGCCUGGAGAUGGGGUUCCAUUUCUUGGGGGAGAAGGGAUUUUAGAGAGAUCAAGAGGGUCUUCUUCUGUACGACCCAUCUUCAAACUCCACCCCAGAAUGUAAUGAGAGUUAGGAUGCUUCCCAGUGGCAGCUGAGAAGCCAACAUACAUGGACUCUUUAAAGAUAGGGGAUAAGUCCAUGGCUAGGGACAAGAGGGGUUUGCUUGGUUUAGGAAGAGAAGCAGGGGAAAUGGUGACAUUGACGAUUUUUUGAGCUCCAUCAUACUCAAUCCAAGCUUGGAUUGGAUUCCCACUCUCCAAAACCACUUCAUGAGAGGAUUUGGAGGAGUUAUCAUAGUAUGAAGCUGACUUAGAAGCAUUAGACCUAACAGUAUUGAUGUCUAUACCAACAUGGUUAUCAUCGAUAUCUCCAUACAUAACCAGGGAUUGAACUGUAUCAAACUCAACAGCAAACAAAUGGUUGGAGAAGUUCCCCAUGGUGGCCUCAUUAAAAAGACCAAAAAGAUUACCACGUCCACCGUCUGAAAGGUUCUUGGAGGGAGAAACGGUGAAGACAAAACCAUGCCCACCAGACCCACCAACAUAGCUGGGGACAAUGGCAAAGAUGAAGGUUGUGGCAAAGGAGGAAGCUGUGGUGGGGUGUUGGGAAUCAUGGCUGUUCUUGUUGAGAAAGUGAAAUGGGGUGUUGUAGAAGGCAUGGCCAGUGAGGUUGGGUGAUGAGUUUGUAAGCCUGAGAGCCCCAUUUGGCGUGGUGAGGGAUGCCCCACCAAGGCUUAAGUUGGAUGCAGAAGCUUUGAAGCCAUUGAAGAUGAAGCCAUAAUCAGACUGAGAGUAAGCUUGAUUAAGGAGGAGCAGAGAGAAGAGGGGAAAGAGGAGAGGUUUUGCCAUUUUAGAUGGUUUUUCUCAAGGGUAGAAGACAGAUUUGUAGGCAAAUGUGAGAGGCAUACACGUCGUCUUCAGUUUCCUGUAGAGUUGUGGACAAAUGUCCAUCUCUUCGUACCAUUUUUAAAUCAAUAGACCCACUUUAAUUUAAUUUGCUUAGGUUGCUAGGGUUAAAGUGGCCAAUUUGUAAGGAAAAGCAAAAUUUCUAGAAGAAAAAAGAUGUUCUUUGAUUCAAAAUUUUCAAAUAACAUGCAUUUGUGUUGAUGGUGUGAAAUUAGCCUCUGAGAAUUUGUGCAGAGAUGAUGAUAUGCAUGCAGAAUAUUUUUGUGCAAGAGAAAAGAUUUAUUUCAUGUUUGUUUGAAGAAGGGGCUACAGAUUCAGAUUUUAGAACCUGUCUAAUCAUAAUUUUGAAAAUAGAUUUUAAAAAUAAAAUUUUAAAAUUAAUUUAUAAAAAUAGUUGUUAAUCAUUUUAAAAAAUAAGAGUGUUUGAUAUUAUGAUUUAAAUACAAUUUUUUGUUUAACAAAAAUCUAUUUUUAAAUAUUUGACCGUUAUUUUCUGAAAACAAUUUUUAAAAGUAAAAUAAAAUAAAGAAUAAUUUUUAGAUAACAAAAUAGUUGAUCAUGUCUUUUUAAAAACAAAAAAAAAAAAAAAUGGGCAUGUUUCAUCAUAUUUUUUUAAACUUGAUUUUAAAAACUAUUUUUAAUUCAAAUAAUUUUCUUU